AAAAGAGGUCGCGAACUUUAUCAGUAACAUGACUUAGUCGGGAAAACGACGCAGGUGAUGUGAAAGGGAAGUUUGCCGAAGCAGCAACAUUUUUCCGUGUUGUGAGCUGGGGCCCAGUACAAGAUGCUGGGAACUGUCGUAGGAAAAAUUCCUACGGGGCGCUAUCG
This 167-nucleotide non-coding RNA is filed under the name uncultured Ligilactobacillus sp. RNAcentral's name for it is "Lysine riboswitch". It matches the Rfam family "Lysine riboswitch aptamer". Rfam says of the family: Riboswitches are metabolite binding domains within certain messenger RNAs that serve as precision sensors for their corresponding targets. Allosteric rearrangement of mRNA structure is mediated by ligand binding, and this results in modulation of gene expression. This family includes riboswitches that sense lysine in a number of genes involved in lysine metabolism, including lysC. The record is from RNAcentral. Lineage: Bacteria; Bacillati; Bacillota; Bacilli; Lactobacillales; Lactobacillaceae.